RNAcentral lists this ribosomal RNA (369 nucleotides) under uncultured bacterium. RNAcentral describes it as "bacterial SSU rRNA". It matches the Rfam family "Bacterial small subunit ribosomal RNA", at positions 527 to 896 of the family's 1533-position model. The record is from RNAcentral.
GUAGGGUGCAAGCGUUAAUCGGAAUUACUGGGCGUAAAGCGUGCGCAGGCGGUUGUGCAAGACAGGUGUGAAAUCCCCGGGCUUAACCUGGGAACUGCACUUGUGACUGCACAGCUGGAGUACGGCAGAGGGGGAUGGAAUUCCGCGUGUAGCAGUGAAAUGCGUAGAUAUGCGGAGGAACACCGAUGGCGAAGGCAGUCCCCUGGGCCUGUACUGACGCUCAUGCACGAAAGCGUGGGGAGCAAACAGGAUUAGAUACCCUGGUAGUCCACGCCCUAAACGAUGUCAACUGGUUGUUGGGAAGGUUUCUUCUCAGUAACGUAGCUAACGCGUGAAGUUGACCGCCUGGGGAGUACGGCCGCAAGGUUG